This is a non-coding RNA of Artibeus jamaicensis (Jamaican fruit-eating bat), 456 nucleotides long. The record is from the annotation of a RefSeq genome assembly. Lineage: Eukaryota; Metazoa; Chordata; Mammalia; Chiroptera; Phyllostomidae.
CCCACUGUGGGCUCAGGGGCUGUGUGCACCAUGGCCUGGACCCCUCUCCUCCUCCUGCUCCUCUCUCACUGCACAGGUUCCCUGUCCCAGCCUGUGGUGACUCAGCCGCCCUCUGUGUCUGCAUCUCCUGGAGCCACUGCCAGACUCACCUGCACCCUCAGCAGAGACCUCAGUGUUGGGAACUCUGUUAUAUCUUGGUACCAGCAGAAGCCAGGGAGCCCUCCCCGGUUUCUCCUGUCCUACUACACAGAUUCAUUAAAGCACCAGGGCUCUGGGGUUCCCAGCCGCUUCUCUGGAUCCAAAGACACCUCAGCCAAUGCAGGACUCCUGACCAUCUCUGGGCUGCAGCCUGAGGACGAGGCCGACUAUUACUGUCUGUCUUUUGAUAGCAGUGGUAAUCACACAGUGCUGCAGACUGAGGGGGAAAAAGUUUAUGUAGAGAUUGCAGGUUUCUGA